RNAcentral lists this small RNA (197 nucleotides) under Weissella cibaria. RNAcentral's name for it is "Listeria sRNA rli28". It matches the Rfam family "Listeria sRNA rli28". The record is from Rfam by way of RNAcentral. Lineage: Bacteria; Bacillati; Bacillota; Bacilli; Lactobacillales; Lactobacillaceae.
GGUUUUAUGUUAAAAUAAUUUCAACAGGUUAAAGGCGGUGGCUAAUCCAACACGGAAGGAGUUGAUGCCUAUGAGCGUUUGUUCGUAGACUUCAAAAUCUUAUGAAAGGAGGAUUAGCUGAUAAUGUCUGUUCACGACGCGCUAACAUUGAUGUUAGCGUUCGGUGGCUUCGUGUUGGCUUUGUUGACGUACGUCGA